RNAcentral lists this ribosomal RNA (402 nucleotides) under uncultured bacterium. RNAcentral describes it as "bacterial SSU rRNA". It matches the Rfam family "Bacterial small subunit ribosomal RNA", at positions 355 to 774 of the family's 1533-position model. The record is from RNAcentral. RNAcentral also lists the same sequence under 1 other name.
UGGGGAAUAUUGGACAAUGGGCGAAAGCCUGAUCCAGCAAUGCCGCGUGAGUGAUGAAGGCCUUAGGGUUGUAAAGCUCUUUUACCCGGGAUGAUAAUGACAGUACCGGGAGAAUAAGCUCCGGCUAACUCCGUGCCAGCAGCCGCGGUAAUACGGAGGGAGCUAGCGUUAUUCGGAAUUACUGGGCGUAAAGCGCACGUAGGCGGCUUUGUAAGUAAGAGGUGAAAGCCCAGAGCUCAACUCUGGAAUUGCCUUUUAGACUGCAUCGCUUGAAUCAUGGAGAGGUCAGUGGAAUUCCGAGUGUAGAGGUGAAAUUCGUAGAUAUUCGGAAGAACACCAGUGGCGAAGGCGGCUGACUGGACAUGUAUUGACGCUGAGGUGCGAAAGCGUGGGGAGCAAACA